UUUAUUGACGUUGUUUUUUGCUUUAUAUAAUGAAUAGCUAUUUAAUUAUGUUAUUUUCAGAGUGUUUUUCUGUAGUCUUUUGACGGAUGAGAAGAAAAAGCCAAAUAAACUGCAAUAUUUUUUAGGAGAUGUAGAGAUUGAGACUGUUCCAGUUAGACAUUGUAAAGAUGCUUAUGGGAUUGUUUUAAAAAAAGAAAUGGACUGGAAAAUCGUUUACUCCGGUGACACUGCACCUUGUCAGAAAUUAAUUGAUGCUGGUGAAAACUGUACUUUACUUAUACAUGAAGCAUCUAUUGAAGACGAUUGCAUGAAUGAAGCUUUGGCUCGGAAACAUAGGUAAGUUAGUAAUUAAUUUUGAAUGAUUUAUUUGUAAAGAAAGACAAUGCGUUCUAAUAUAGUUUGUUAA
Parasteatoda tepidariorum (common house spider) is the source of this 406-nucleotide non-coding RNA. NCBI's taxonomy places the organism in Eukaryota, Metazoa, Arthropoda, Arachnida, Araneae, Theridiidae. The record is from RefSeq and is a predicted model, not a curated record.